UACGUAGGUGGCGAGCGUUAUCCGGAAUUAUUGGGCGUAAAGAGCGCGCAGGUGGUUGAUUAAGACUGAUGUGAAAGCCCACGGCUUAACCGUGGAGGGUCAUUGGAAACUGGUCGACUUGAGUGCAGAAGAGGAGAGCGGAAUUCCACGUGUAGCGGUGAAAUGCGUAGAGAUGUGGAGGAACACCAGUGGCGAAGGCGGCUCUCUGGUCUGUAACUGACGCUGAGGCGCGAAAGCGUGGGGAGCGAACAGGAUUAGA
This 259-nucleotide ribosomal RNA is filed under the name uncultured prokaryote. RNAcentral describes it as "partial 16S ribosomal RNA". It matches the Rfam family "Bacterial small subunit ribosomal RNA", at positions 524 to 782 of the family's 1533-position model. The record is from RNAcentral.